CAGAUUUCUCUGGCUUGCAUUGCUUCCUGUCUUUGGUUUUGAGGGGCUCUGGCAUGAGAAGGUCUCAGGAGUCCUGAUGGCUUUAGCGAUGUAGCUCCUGAAACCUGUUGGAGAAUGAGGCUGGCCUAUGGGA
Equus caballus (horse) is the source of this 133-nucleotide microRNA precursor. NCBI's taxonomy places the organism in Eukaryota, Metazoa, Chordata, Mammalia, Perissodactyla, Equidae. The record is from Ensembl.